Molecule: ribosomal RNA, 965 nt
Filed under: Frigoribacterium sp. H0822T
Lineage: Bacteria; Bacillati; Actinomycetota; Actinomycetes; Micrococcales; Microbacteriaceae
Description: bacterial SSU rRNA
Rfam family: Bacterial small subunit ribosomal RNA
Source: RNAcentral
UCGGAAUUAUUGGGCGUAAAGAGCUCGUAGGCGGUUUGUCGCGUCUGCUGUGAAAUCUGGGGGCUCAACCCCCAGCCUGCAGUGGGUACGGGCAGACUAGAGUGCGGUAGGGGAGAUUGGAAUUCCUGGUGUAGCGGUGGAAUGCGCAGAUAUCAGGAGGAACACCGAUGGCGAAGGCAGAUCUCUGGGCCGUAACUGACGCUGAGGAGCGAAAGCAUGGGGAGCGAACAGGAUUAGAUACCCUGGUAGUCCAUGCCGUAAACGUUGGGAACUAGAUGUGGGGACCAUUCCACGGUCUCCGUGUCGCAGCUAACGCAUUAAGUUCCCCGCCUGGGGAGUACGGCCGCAAGGCUAAAACUCAAAGGAAUUGACGGGGGCCCGCACAAGCGGCGGAGCAUGCGGAUUAAUUCGAUGCAACGCGAAGAACCUUACCAAGGCUUGACAUAUACCGGAAACGGCCAGAGAUGGUCGCCCCGCAAGGUCGGUAUACAGGUGGUGCAUGGUUGUCGUCAGCUCGUGUCGUGAGAUGUUGGGUUAAGUCCCGCAACGAGCGCAACCCUCGUUCUAUGUUGCCAGCACGUUAUGGUGGGAACUCAUAGGAGACUGCCGGGGUCAACUCGGAGGAAGGUGGGGAUGACGUCAAAUCAUCAUGCCCCUUAUGUCUUGGGCUUCACGCAUGCUACAAUGGCCGGUACAAAGGGCUGCGAUACCGUAAGGUGGAGCGAAUCCCAAAAAGCCGGUCUCAGUUCGGAUUGAGGUCUGCAACUCGACCUCAUGAAGUCGGAGUCGCUAGUAAUCGCAGAUCAGCAACGCUGCGGUGAAUACGUUCCCGGGCCUUGUACACACCGCCCGUCAAGUCAUGAAAGUCGGUAACACCCGAAGCCAGUGGCCUAACCCCUUGUGGGAUGGAGCUGUCGAACGUGGGAUCGGUGAUUAGGACUAAGUCGUAACAGGGUAACCGUAAA